UCGCCUACGGGGGGCAGCAGUGAGGAAUAUUGGUCAAUGGGCGGAAGCCUGAACCAGCCAAGUCGCGUGAGGGAAUAAGGCCCUACGGGUCGUAAACCUCUUUUGUCAGGGAGCAAUUGAGUCCACGUGUGGGCUUAGCGAGAGUACCUGAAGAAAAAGCAUCGGCUAACUCCGUGCCAGCAGCCGCGGUAAUACGGAGGAUGCGAGCGUUAUCCGGAUUUAUUGGGUUUAAAGGGUGCGUAGGCGGAAUAUCAAGUCAGCGGUAAAAAUUCGGGGCUCAACCCCGUCUU
This 290-nucleotide ribosomal RNA is filed under the name uncultured bacterium. RNAcentral describes it as "partial 16S ribosomal RNA". It matches the Rfam family "Bacterial small subunit ribosomal RNA", at positions 335 to 621 of the family's 1533-position model. The record is from RNAcentral.